GGAGAGGUGACCGAGAGGCCGAAGGUGCUCGCCUGCUAAGUGAGUGUAUGCUGAAAGGUGUACCGUGGGUUCGAAUCCCACCCUCUCCGCCA
This 92-nucleotide transfer RNA is filed under the name Deltaproteobacteria bacterium. Its description in RNAcentral is "tRNA-Ser". It matches the Rfam family "tRNA". Rfam says of the family: Transfer RNA (tRNA) molecules are approximately 80 nucleotides in length. Their secondary structure includes four short double-helical elements and three loops (D, anti-codon, and T loops). The record is from RNAcentral. RNAcentral also lists the same sequence under 2 other names. Lineage: Bacteria; Pseudomonadati; Myxococcota; Myxococcia.